GGCUGCGGGUCCCGCUCCCUCACUGUGGCUGAGCCGGCCCGAUCCUGGGCGCAUCCUCUGCCCCGGGUGCGGCGGUGGCCAGACCAGAGCCCACACCCAGGCUGAGCCUUGUCUGUACGUUUCCUUCAUAGAACUGCAAAGAAAUGUCAAACACGUGAACACAGCUAGACAACAAUCCAAGGCAAGAUGAAUGCCAGAGGAUUUUGGCAUCCUGGAAAAAACUCACCAUGGACUUUGGUUAUUCAGAAUUAGCUACUUCUUCUGUAAGGCUAUCAGUAUUCUGGAUUAACAGAAGAAAAUAGCCACCCGACCUCCAGAUGAUUUUCCACCUGUGCCUGGCAAGACUGGGGAAAACCCUGGGGCUACACUCGGGUGUCUGAUGACUGAGGGUUUUACAGAAGAGGCCUCUCCUGACAGCUUGGAGGGACUCGUCUGUCAGGAACAGCGUGAGCCUAGGAAACCUUCACCAUGAACUUUGUGUUAGAUCAUGAGUCCCAGCAUUUGGCAACAACUGAAACAUACCUCUAAAUCUUACAGAUUAUAGUACUAAGUUUAAAAUCUAGGCCUUAAAAAUACAGUAAACGUUAAAGCUUCUGGGAUUCCUAAAAUCUCCUUGCCCGGACCUUUCCUGUCCCAUAAGGGAAGAGAAUGAGUGAGGGAAGCUCAUUCUCGGCACUUCACUGUGUUCCGUGAUUGCAACUGAGCCCUGUGAAUCUCCUCUUUCUCCACCUCCACACCUCCUUUCACAGCCCCCUCAGUCCUCCCUUUCCUUGACAAACCCAAGUAAACCCCACAGUUGCCAUCAAAGCUUAUUCUGCGAAGAUCCACUUCCAGUUAGUCUGGGGUCAGUGAGGCGCCUAGAAUGAGAUGGUUUUCAGAAUUACACUACCGACAGAAUAUAUUUUGAACAUGUUUUAAAAGGUAUUCUUGAAUAUCUUACUUCUUCACACUAUUAUAAUAGUUCCAGACUUUGCUCCAAGAAAAUAAAUAAAAAAUGAUGCCAGUAUUCAAAUUUAAAGAAAACUUAAGGAAAAUCAGUUGGUUCUGUACAAACUUACAUGUAAAACUAAAAGAUAAUAAAAAUUACAAUUAAGAAAC
Long non-coding RNA from Lemur catta (Ring-tailed lemur), 1098 nucleotides. RefSeq lists it as uncharacterized. The transcript has 2 exons. The record is from RefSeq and is a predicted model, not a curated record. Lineage: Eukaryota; Metazoa; Chordata; Mammalia; Primates; Lemuridae.